GUGCUCUGCCUUUUCAGGUCUCACAGGAAAGAAGGCCCAAACAUUUAUCAGUGCGAGCAGACAUAAUUCUCCUGCCUGCAGCAUGUUUUGCAGAGGCAAAAUUUGAUGAACCAAACACCUGCGCAAACUAGAACAGAAAUUGCAACAGCACACAGUUACAUGAUAUAUACCUGGUAUUACACUGCAGGCACUGAUUGAUUACUUUUGGCUGGUGUUUGGACAUAGAGCAACUGCAAAAGCAAAGCAACAUUUACAUCAUCCUGGCUUUUGUUCUGAGGAGGGUACCCCACAUGCUUUAACCCUGCUGAUGCAAGCCAAAAAACACUGUGCAAGCCUACAAGAAGACACAGAAACAGCCUGGAAAAAAUAGCAUAGAGACUGCAGGUAUCAAAAUGUCUAUGCACGUACCUGGGGGCUGGUUUUGUAUUUCUGUAAAGCAAACUUUAUUUUACAGUAUUCUGCAGCAGAAAAAGACCAGUUAGGAACUUUAGCACUUGAGGAAAUGAUCACUUGUUUCCUAUGUAUUUUCUCUUUUUUUCCCUUCAAUGCAUCAUAAACUUGUUUUGGAAAAGUUUUUUAUCUGGAAAAUUAUUACGGAAACAGCACGAAACGAGGAAUAAUUAUAGUAAUGCAUUACAAAAUAAGGUACUGUUGGAACCAGAAAAGCAGCAAAGCAACCUACUUGUGGCUUAUUUCCUGUGUGAGAGAGAGCUCAAGGUAUG
Long non-coding RNA from Falco peregrinus (peregrine falcon), 722 nucleotides. RefSeq lists it as uncharacterized. The record is from RefSeq and is a predicted model, not a curated record. The transcript has 3 exons. NCBI's taxonomy places the organism in Eukaryota, Metazoa, Chordata, Aves, Falconiformes, Falconidae.